This 213-nucleotide ribosomal RNA is filed under the name Bacillus velezensis. Its description in RNAcentral is "partial 16S ribosomal RNA". It matches the Rfam family "Bacterial small subunit ribosomal RNA", at positions 1111 to 1325 of the family's 1533-position model. The record is from RNAcentral. Lineage: Bacteria; Bacillati; Bacillota; Bacilli; Caryophanales; Bacillaceae.
UUAGUUGCCAGCAUUCAGUUGGGCACUCUAAGGUGACUGCCGGUGACAAACCGGAGGAAGGUGGGGAUGACGUCAAAUCAUCAUGCCCCUUAUGACCUGGGCUACACACGUGCUACAAUGGGCAGAACAAAGGGCAGCGAAACCGCGAGGUUAAGCCAAUCCCACAAAUCUGUUCUCAGUUCGGAUCGCAGUCUGCAACUCGACUGCGUGAAG